AUUGAACGCUGGCGGCAGGCUUAACACAUGCAAGUCGAGCGGGGUGAUGGUGCUUGCACUAUCACUUAGCGGCGGACGGGUGAGUAAUGCUUAGGAAUCUGCCUAUUAGUGGGGGACAACAUCUCGAAAGGGAUGCUAAUACCGCAUACGUCCUACGGGAGAAAGCAGGGGAUCACUUGUGACCUUGCGCUAAUAGAUGAGCCUAAGUCGGAUUAGCUAGUUGGUGGGGUAAAGGCCUACCAAGGCGACGAUCUGUAGCGGGUCUGAGAGGAUGAUGCGCCACACUGGGACUGAGACACGGACCAGACUCCUACGGGAGGUAGCAGUGGGGAAUAUUGGACAAUGGGGGGAACCCUGAUCCAGCCAUGCCGCGUGUGUGAAGAAGGCCUUAUGGUUGUAAAGCACUUUAAGCGAGGAGGAGGCUCUUUUGGUUAAUACCCAAGAUGAGUGGACGUUACUCGCAGAAUAAGCACCGGCUAACUCUGUGCCAGCCGCCGCGGUAA
RNAcentral lists this ribosomal RNA (503 nucleotides) under uncultured bacterium. RNAcentral's name for it is "partial 16S ribosomal RNA". It matches the Rfam family "Bacterial small subunit ribosomal RNA", at positions 30 to 523 of the family's 1533-position model. The record is from RNAcentral.